Molecule: unclassified non-coding RNA, 473 nt
Filed under: Hevea brasiliensis (rubber tree)
Lineage: Eukaryota; Viridiplantae; Streptophyta; Magnoliopsida; Malpighiales; Euphorbiaceae
Source: RNAcentral
AGAAAAUCGGCAUGAACUGAUUGAACCAACGAAGACCCGAAAUGAACCGCUUGACUCGAAUGACCCGCGAGAACUAGUAAGGUUUGGUGAUCACACCAAAAACGGCAUACACUCCAUCCGUUUCACCCAAAUUCCUUUCAUUUUGGCACUCACAAAAUCCCAAUUUUGUUAAACAACAGUCACACUUCAAUUCUUCCCUUCGAAGAUUUACAAUACCUGAAAGUCUUCAAGACUUCAACAAUUUAAACCAUUUUCCCUUCAAUUUCAUUGUUGCCAUCUUCAUCUCUAGAACCUCUAUAGUCAUCAAUUGAAGCUCCAUUGUCUUCAAUUAAAGCUCCAUCUUUAGAAAUAGAGACACUUCCUUUCCAUCCAUCUUCAACUGUCGAUCUCCACUGUGAAAGCUAUAACAAAAAGCUAAGCUCCACCAUCAUCAUCCACAUCUUGGAUAUUGCAAAGAGUGGUUUGUUUAAUCC